UGCUCUAUAUUAUUCAGACUUCUAAACUGUUCAGGUCUUAACACUCAUUUUUAUCAAACACCACCCAAGUCAAUAAGGUAUAGAUGUUAGCAUUCACUUACAAUAACAGUUCUAGAAAUAAGAGCAGCCUCAAUCAUGGUAGAUUAAUGAUUAAUACACCCAGAUAAAUGCAUUCAUGCUGUGAUAUCCAUAUUAAAACACAAAUUCUACUGUUUCUGAACAGGCCUUCUUGUACUUCAUAACAAAUGAAAGAAAAUAUAAUUCUCACCAUCAACAGACAUGUAACUGUGAGGAACAGAAGGAUAUGAUAAAUGCAACUUCCAAAAAAUGCAGCUUGAAUUAGGUUGUAUAUAUUGCAGUUCGCCUCUUGAAGCUUACUAUGAGAAACAUUCAAAAUCUAGUCCGAUGCAAGAUUGAUAGCAUUCCAGAAGUUGAUGAUCUUAUGGGAGGCAUUGGUUUGCUGAAUACUUUUUUGGGGAGGACAUCUCCUGGGAAUCUUUUCGAGCUUAAAAGUAAGUUAAAGAGUCUGGAUGGGAAAAUAAAAGAAUUAUCAAAUGUUUUUCAAAACCCUGGCCCUUUACAUGAUAUUAUUGUAUGUUGGAUAGAUCAACAUGAAUCACAAAGUGGAGAAGGUUUCAAGCGCCUUCAACUACUCAUUAUUGAACUAACACGGUCUGGGAUUUUCUACCCUCAAGCAUAUGUGAGGCAAUUGAUUGUUAGUGGAAUUAUGGAUCGGGAUGGCCCUCUAGCUGAUCUGGACAGAAGGAAGAGACAUUGUAAAAUCUUAAAGCAGCUCCCUGGUCCUUAUAUUUGUGAUGCUUUAGAAGAAGCACAAGUCAUAGAGGUGGCAAUGCUUGCAGAAGCCAUGCAUGUUUACUCAAAUGAACGUCGACUUGUGCUUCGUGGGCUUAUUGAUAAUCAAAAAAGCAUAAACAGAACAAAUAUUUUGUCUCAGAAACAAAAGAAUCGCCUAAACUUUGUCUGGGAUAGUUCUUCAUUGUCGCCCGUAGAUCUGUGGAAAAGUGUGCCAUCAGAAACAACUGUAUUAGGUUGUAUUACCUUUCCUAGUUGUUCAAAAAAUCCAUAUUGACAACUCUGAAAGAAGUCUUCACCUGAUUUAUUCUCAAAAGAUUAACACCAAAAUUUCACUACUGGGAAUUUUGGCUUUUGAAACAUACAAUUUGAUUGUUUUCAGUCCUAAAAAAACAUACAAUUUGAUUGGUAAUGGUCAAAAAUUACCUGCACCUAAUAGUCAGUCCUAAAAAAAAAACAAAGUCAUUUGAGAAUAAAAACUUCAAAAGGUAGAAAACCAAAAAUAUGACAACUUCAAAUCAACUAAUUAACAGACCCAUAUCAAAAAUGAACAGAAAUCAAUAAGCAAGAAUUGACCCAUCAAUACCCGUAUAAUCCAAAUACUCAAAAAGAGUUCUCGGUUCUCAGAAUUGACCCAUCAACCACAGCGAAACAUCACAGAAAAAUUAGAAGGAAAAAGACACAUACCAAAUACAGCCUAAAUCGCGAAUCUUAGAGAAGCUUUAGUUGAGAAGAGAGAUUCUUAGAGAAGCUAGGGCACAGCGAACUAUUAUGCGAUUCUCAGGGCUUGCAGAUUAGGAGAGAAUCGCGACCCAUUUGGAGAGAAUCACUGAGAAUCGCAACCCAUUUGGAGAGCAGUGGGAAACUAGGGCUUGCAGAUUCGCGAGAGAGGGUAGGAGAGAAUGGCGAAGUUCAGAUUUGGGUUUUUUAAAAAAGACGCGGAAGGUUGGCUAAG
RNAcentral lists this long non-coding RNA (1768 nucleotides) under Panax ginseng (ginseng). RNAcentral's name for it is "long non-coding RNA (PGIN_LNC015999)". Lineage: Eukaryota; Viridiplantae; Streptophyta; Magnoliopsida; Apiales; Araliaceae. The record is from RNAcentral.